RNAcentral lists this ribosomal RNA (2770 nucleotides) under Klebsiella pneumoniae. RNAcentral describes it as "bacterial LSU rRNA". It matches the Rfam family "Bacterial large subunit ribosomal RNA". Lineage: Bacteria; Pseudomonadati; Pseudomonadota; Gammaproteobacteria; Enterobacterales; Enterobacteriaceae. The record is from RNAcentral.
CACUAUCGUUAACUGAAUACAUAGGUUAACGAGGCGAACCGGGGGAACUGAAACAUCUAAGUACCCCGAGGAAAAGAAAUCAACCGAGAUUCCCCCAGUAGCGGCGAGCGAACGGGGAGCAGCCCAGAGUCUGAAUCAGCUUGUGUGUUAGUGGAACGGUCUGGAAAGUCCGACGGUACAGGGUGAUAGUCCCGUACACCAAAAUGCACAGGCUGUGAACUCGAAGAGUAGGGCGGGACACGUGGUAUCCUGUCUGAAUAUGGGGGGACCAUCCUCCAAGGCUAAAUACUCCUGACUGACCGAUAGUGAACCAGUACCGUGAGGGAAAGGCGAAAAGAACCCCGGCGAGGGGAGUGAAAAAGAACCUGAAACCGUGUACGUACAAGCAGUGGGAGCACCUUCGGGUGUGACUGCGUACCUUUUGUAUAAUGGGUCAGCGACUUAUAUUCUGUAGCAAGGUUAACCGUAUAGGGGAGCCGCAGGGAAACCGAGUCUUAACUGGGCGUUAAGUUGCAGGGUAUAGACCCGAAACCCGGUGAUCUAGCCAUGGGCAGGUUGAAGGUUGGGUAACACUAACUGGAGGACCGAACCGACUAAUGUUGAAAAAUUAGCGGAUGACUUGUGGCUGGGGGUGAAAGGCCAAUCAAACCGGGAGAUAGCUGGUUCUCCCCGAAAGCUAUUUAGGUAGCGCCUCGUGAAUUCAUCUUCGGGGGUAGAGCACUGUUUCGGCUAGGGGGUCAUCCCGACUUACCAACCCGAUGCAAACUACGAAUACCGAAGAAUGUUAUCACGGGAGACACACGGCGGGUGCUAACGUCCGUCGUGAAGAGGGAAACAACCCAGACCGCCAGCUAAGGUCCCAAAGUCAUGGUUAAGUGGGAAACGAUGUGGGAAGGCACAGACAGCCAGGAUGUUGGCUUAGAAGCAGCCAUCAUUUAAAGAAAGCGUAAUAGCUCACUGGUCGAGUCGGCCUGCGCGGAAGAUGUAACGGGGCUAAACCAUGCACCGAAGCUGCGGCAGCGACACUAUGUGUUGUUGGGUAGGGGAGCGUUCUGUAAGCCUGCGAAGGUGACCUGUGAGGGUUGCUGGAGGUAUCAGAAGUGCGAAUGCUGACAUAAGUAACGAUAAAGCGGGUGAAAAGCCCGCUCGCCGGAAGACCAAGGGUUCCUGUCCAACGUUAAUCGGGGCAGGGUGAGUCGACCCCUAAGGCGAGGCCGAAAGGCGUAGUCGAUGGGAAACAGGUUAAUAUUCCUGUACUUGGUGUUACUGCGAAGGGGGGACGGAGAAGGCUAUGUUAGCCGGGCGACGGUUGUCCCGGUUUAAGCAUGUAGGCUGGUUGUCCAGGCAAAUCCGGAUAAUCAAGGCUGAGGUGUGAUGACGAGGCACUACGGUGCUGAAGUAACAAAUGCCCUGCUUCCAGGAAAAGCCUCUAAGCAUCAGGUAACAUCAAAUCGUACCCCAAACCGACACAGGUGGUCAGGUAGAGAAUACCAAGGCGCUUGAGAGAACUCGGGUGAAGGAACUAGGCAAAAUGGUGCCGUAACUUCGGGAGAAGGCACGCUGGUGUGUAGGUGAAGUCCCUGCGGAUGGAGCUGAGACCAGUCGAAGAUACCAGCUGGCUGCAACUGUUUAUUAAAAACACAGCACUGUGCAAACACGAAAGUGGACGUAUACGGUGUGACGCCUGCCCGGUGCCGGAAGGUUAAUUGAUGGGGUUAUCCGUAAGGAGAAGCUCUUGAUCGAAGCCCCGGUAAACGGCGGCCGUAACUAUAACGGUCCUAAGGUAGCGAAAUUCCUUGUCGGGUAAGUUCCGACCUGCACGAAUGGCGUAAUGAUGGCCAGGCUGUCUCCACCCGAGACUCAGUGAAAUUGAACUCGCUGUGAAGAUGCAGUGUACCCGCGGCAAGACGGAAAGACCCCGUGAACCUUUACUAUAGCUUGACACUGAACAUUGAGCCUUGAUGUGUAGGAUAGGUGGGAGGCUUUGAAGCGUGGACGCCAGUCUGCGUGGAGCCAACCUUGAAAUACCACCCUUUAAUGUUUGAUGUUCUAACGUUGGCCCCUUACCGGGGUUGCGGACAGUGUCUGGUGGGUAGUUUGACUGGGGCGGUCUCCUCCCAAAGCGUAACGGAGGAGCACGAAGGUUAGCUAAUCCUGGUCGGACAUCAGGAGGUUAGUGCAAUGGCAUAAGCUAGCUUGACUGCGAGCGUGACGGCGCGAGCAGGUGCGAAAGCAGGUCAUAGUGAUCCGGUGGUUCUGAAUGGAAGGGCCAUCGCUCAACGGAUAAAAGGUACUCCGGGGAUAACAGGCUGAUACCGCCCAAGAGUUCAUAUCGACGGCGGUGUUUGGCACCUCGAUGUCGGCUCAUCACAUCCUGGGGCUGAAGUAGGUCCCAAGGGUAUGGCUGUUCGCCAUUUAAAGUGGUACGCGAGCUGGGUUUAGAACGUCGUGAGACAGUUCGGUCCCUAUCUGCCGUGGGCGCUGGAGAAUUGAGGGGGGCUGCUCCUAGUACGAGAGGACCGGAGUGGACGCAUCACUGGUGUUCGGGUUGUCAUGCCAAUGGCACUGCCCGGUAGCUAAAUGCGGAAGAGAUAAGUGCUGAAAGCAUCUAAGCACGAAACUUGCCCCGAGAUGAGUUCUCCCUGAGACUUUAAGUCUCCUGAAGGAACGUUGAAGACGACGACGUUGAUAGGCCGGGUGUGUAAGCGCAGCGAUGCGUUGAGCUAACCGGUACUAAUGAACCGUGAGGCUUAACCUUACAACGCCGAAG